Molecule: ribosomal RNA, 254 nt
Filed under: uncultured bacterium
Lineage: Bacteria
Description: partial 16S ribosomal RNA
Rfam family: Bacterial small subunit ribosomal RNA
Source: RNAcentral
UACGUAGGGUGCGAGCGUUGUCCGGAAUUAUUGGGCGUAAAGAGCUCGUAGGCGGUCUGUCGCGUCGGUCGUGAAAACUUGGGGCUUAACCCUGAGCUUGCGGUCGAUACGGGCAUGACUGGAGUUCGGUAGGGGAGACUGGAAUUCCUGGUGUAGCGGUGAAAUACGUAGAUAUCAGGAGGAAUACCGGUGGCGAAGGCGGCCAUCUGGCCAAAUACUGACGCUGAGAUACGAAAGUGUGGGGAUCAAACAGG